AUUGAACGCUGGCGGCAGGCCUAACACAUGCAAGUCGAGCGGAUGAAGGGAGCUUUCUCCUGUAUUCAGCUGCGGACGGGUGAGUAAUUCCUAGGAAUCUACCUGGUAUUGAGGUAUAACGUCCGGACACGGGCGCUAAUACCACAUCCGUCCUGAUGGAGAAAGUGGUGGAUCUUCGGACCUCACGCUAUCAGAUGAGCCUAGGUCGGAUUAUCUAGUUGGUUGGGUAAAGGCCUACCAAGGCGACGAUCCGUAACUGGUCUGAGAGGAUGAUCAGUCACACCGGAACUGAGACAAGGUCCAGACUCCUAAGGGAGGCAGCAGUGGGGAAUAUUGGACAAUGGGCGAAAGCCUGAUCCAGCAAUGCCGCGUGUGUGAAGAAGGUCUUCGGAUUGUAAAGCACUUUAAGUUGGGAGGAAGGGAAGUAAGUUAAUCCAUUGCUGUCUUGACGUUACCAACAGAAUAAGCACCGGCUAACUUCGUG
This 484-nucleotide ribosomal RNA is filed under the name uncultured bacterium. RNAcentral's name for it is "partial 16S ribosomal RNA". It matches the Rfam family "Bacterial small subunit ribosomal RNA", at positions 30 to 507 of the family's 1533-position model. The record is from RNAcentral.